AACGAACGCUGGCGGCAUGCCUAAUACAUGCAAGUCGAACGAGAUCUUCGGAUCUAGUGGCGCACGGGUGCGUAACGCGUGGGAAUCUGCCCUUGGGUUCGGAAUAACUUCGGGAAACUGAAGCUAAUACCGGAUGAUGACGUAAGUCCAAAGAUUUAUCGCCCAAGGAUGAGCCCGCGUAGGAUUAGCUAGUUGGUGGGGUAAAGGCCCACCAAGGCGACGAUCCUUAGCUGGUCUGAGAGGAUGAUCAGCCACUCUGGGACUGAGACACGGCCCAGACUCCUACGGGAGGCAGCAGUAGGGAAUAUUGGACAAUGGGGGAGACCCUGAUCCAGCAAUGCCGCGUGAGCGAUGAAGGCCUUAGGGUUGUAAAGCUCUUUUACCCGAGAUGAUAAUGACAGUAUCGGGAGAAUAAGCCCCGGCUAACUCCGCGCCAGCAGCCGCCGUAA
RNAcentral lists this ribosomal RNA (449 nucleotides) under uncultured bacterium. Its description in RNAcentral is "partial 16S ribosomal RNA". It matches the Rfam family "Bacterial small subunit ribosomal RNA", at positions 29 to 523 of the family's 1533-position model. The record is from RNAcentral.